RNAcentral lists this long non-coding RNA (1360 nucleotides) under Capra hircus (goat). Its description in RNAcentral is "lncRNA (ENSCHIG00010008420.1)". The record is from RNAcentral. Lineage: Eukaryota; Metazoa; Chordata; Mammalia; Artiodactyla; Bovidae.
AUCACUGCAGAUGGUGAUUACAGCCAUGAAAUUAAAAGAUGCUUACUCUUACUGCUUGGUGAAGUUUAAAAAAUUUUGUCUGCCACAUUACCCACAAUGAUUAUUCUUGUCUUUUUCUGUUUUCCAUAAGCCCUCAACCAGCCUGCUAUCCCUGCAACCACAGUAAGAUUCCAGCUGCCCUCUCCACUCUUUAUUGAGAGAUGACCUUGCCUUUUAUAUCCCGAGGAAAAAUAGAAAUGGUUUCUCUUCCUGGUGUGAACUAUUUGAAUGAAGUGGGAGCCCACCUUUUAAGACUCUUCUAUACAUUCACUUUCUUUCCUGUCUCCUGGAGGAUCUUAUUUCCCUCAUUACUCUGCCCUACUCUGAGGUAUCUGGUCUUUGUCCUUCUUGGCAUGUUUCCCUCUGCCAUCAAACAUGUGAGUCUUCCUACAAAUUGUUGGAGGGAAGAGACAGAAAGAUCCUAACAACAAGAACAAGCACAGUUUUCCUCUGACAGUACAUAAUUCUUUAGUUAUAGUCUUCUCUCUUACAAUAAAUGUACACUUGCUGGCAUCUUUUCAGGACUAUUUCUGCUAACAGUUUGCUACUCAGAGUUUGAAAGUCACAGAGGCGAUUGUUACCAUAUUAAGUUCAGCAGUGCUGCACAUCCUUAGUUUUCUUGUAUCUCUCAUUUUCCAUUNNNNNNNNNNNNNNNNNNNNNNNNNNNNNUCCUUGGCUCUUUGUUCUUUUGCUCUAUACAAGGGGUCCCUGACUUCCAGGACCCAAUGCCUGACACUCCGAGGUGUAGCUGAUGGGCUAAUAAUGGAAAUGCAGUGCACAAUAAAUGUAAUGCCCUUGAAUCACCCCCAAACCAUCCCCCUACACCCCAGUCUGGAAAAAAUUGUCUCCCAUGAUACCGAUCCCUGGUGCCACAAAAAGGGUUGGGGACCCCUGCUUCACGUUGUUUUUUUACAGUAGACCGAUAUUAGUCUCACAUAUUUAAUUUACUUUGAAGCUGAAGAUUCUCAAAUUUGUCGAGUCCUGACUGACCUAAUAUCUCAUGCCGUCUUUCUCAUUGCCUUUGAGGCAUGCGGUCGUUUCUCAUUCAGUUCAAAUGCAGCAUAUGUAAAAUCUCCCUGCUUCAUUCCGCAUGUUUAACUAGUCACCAUUCAGUAAACGUGAGGGCCUUUUUUUUUAAACCUGGCUACAAAUUCACUCAGUUCUUCUCUUGACGUCUGUUUUUAAUUUCUCCUUUUUCAUCCCACCUGUUUUAGGCCCUCAGUACCUCGGGUUUCCCUUACGACAACAUCCCAGCAGCUGCUGCUGCUAACUUACUUCAGUCGUGUCCAACUCUGUGCGACCCCACAGACGGCAGCCCACC